GGUAUACAUCUAAAAAAACAAAAGUAUAUAUGGUUAAAUAAUAGAAAUACAACAAAACAUAUGUUACCUUUCUAGUUUUUACUUCAAAUAUAUUCUAAGUUUACCAAUAUUACAAGUCCUUGCAUAUUAUGAUACAAUAAAAUCUAAAGUUUUAAAACUACCAAAUAAUUUCAAUAAUUGCAUGGAAACCAUCCACACAAUGCCAAAGUUCCAUCUUCCAAUAAGGUAAUAAUUGAAGAUUAGUGUGUUACUUGUGGAGACAUCCUGCUCAAAGGAAAGAAAAUUAUGUCAACAUUUGUGUGCAGUUAGAC
This 311-nucleotide long non-coding RNA is filed under the name Trifolium pratense (red clover). RNAcentral's name for it is "long non-coding RNA (TPRA_LNC014139)". The record is from RNAcentral. Lineage: Eukaryota; Viridiplantae; Streptophyta; Magnoliopsida; Fabales; Fabaceae.